GAUGAACGCUGGCGGCGUGCCUAAUACAUGCAAGUCGAGCGAACAGACGAGGAGCUUGCUCCUCUGACGUUAGCGGCGGACGGGUGAGUAACACGUGGAUAACCUACCUAUAAGACUGGGAUAACUUCGGGAAACCGGAGCUAAUACCGGAUAAUAUAUUGAACCGCAUGGUUCAAUAGUGAAAGACGGUUUUGCUGUCACUUAUAGAUGGAUCCGCGCCGCAUUAGCUAGUUGGUAAGGUAACGGCUUACCAAGGCAACGAUGCGUAGCCGACCUGAGAGGGGGAUCGGCCACACUGGAACUGAGACACGGUCCAGACUCCUACGGGAGGAAGCAGUAGGGAAUCUUCCGCAAUGGGCGAAAGCCUGACGGAGCAACGCCGCGUGAGUGAUGAAGGUCUUCGGAUCGUAAAACUCUGUUAUUAGGGAAGAACAAAUGUGUAAGUAACUAUGCACGUCUUGACGGUACCUAAUCAGAAAGCCACGGCUAACUACGUG
Molecule: ribosomal RNA, 497 nt
Filed under: uncultured bacterium
Lineage: Bacteria
Description: partial 16S ribosomal RNA
Rfam family: Bacterial small subunit ribosomal RNA
Source: RNAcentral